GAUGAAGAACGCAGUGAAAUGCGAUACUUGGUGUGAAUUGCAGAAUCCCGUGAACCAUCGAGUCUUUGAACGCAAGUUGCGCCCGAAGCCAUCAGGUUGAGGGCACGUCUGCCUGGGCGUCAUAUAUCGUUGCCCAAUGCCUAUUGCAGUGCAAUAGGAAUUUCUAGGGCGAAUGAUGGCUUCCCGUGAGCGUUGUUGCCUCGCGGUUGGUUGAAAAUCGAGUCCUUGGUAGGGUGUGCCAUGGUAGAUGGUGGUCGAGUUAGAACGAUACCGAUCAUGUGCAUGCUCCCCAAAAUAUGGCCUCUAUGACCCACACGCGUCUUUUGACGCUCAUGACGAGACCUCAGGUCAGGCGGGGCUACCCGCUGAAUUUAAGCAUAUCAAUAAGCGGAGGA
This 395-nucleotide unclassified non-coding RNA is filed under the name soil metagenome. Its description in RNAcentral is "partial contains 5.8S ribosomal RNA, internal transcribed spacer 2, and large subunit ribosomal RNA". The stretch from base 1 to 122 matches the Rfam family "5.8S ribosomal RNA", at positions 35 to 154 of the family's 154-position model. The record is from RNAcentral.